RNAcentral lists this ribosomal RNA (107 nucleotides) under Klebsiella oxytoca. Its description in RNAcentral is "partial 23S ribosomal RNA". It matches the Rfam family "Bacterial large subunit ribosomal RNA", at positions 1 to 106 of the family's 2925-position model. The record is from RNAcentral. RNAcentral also lists the same sequence under 16 other names. Lineage: Bacteria; Pseudomonadati; Pseudomonadota; Gammaproteobacteria; Enterobacterales; Enterobacteriaceae.
GGUUAAGCGACUAAGCGUACACGGUGGAUGCCCUGGCAGUCAGAGGCGAUGAAGGACGUGCUAAUCUGCGAAAAGCGUCGGUAAGGUGAUAUGAACCGUUAUAACCG